UAUCACUCAGCUUAGCAAUCUGGCCCCUUCGGCGCUCCUGAGUUGUAAUUUGAAGGAACGGUAUCUUUGGUUUUGGCUCUUGUCUAUGUUCCUUGGAACAGGACGUCACAGAGGGUGAGAAUCCCGUGCGAUGAGAUGCCCAAUUCCAUGUAAAGUUCCUUCGACGAGUCGAGUUGUUUGGGAAUGCAGCUCUAAGUGGGUGGUAAAUUCCAUCUAAAGCUAAAUAUUGGCGAGAGACCGAUAGCGAACAAGUACUGUGAAGGAAAGAUGAAAAGAACUUUGAAAAGAGAGUGAAAAAGUACGUGAAAUUGUUGAAAGGGAAGGGCUUGAGGUCAGACUUGGUUUUACCAGGCCAGCAUCAGUUUGGGUGGCAGGAUAAGUGCGUAGGAAAGUGGCUCCACCUCGGUGGAGUGUUAUAGCCUGCGUCGAUACUGCCUGCCUAGACUGAGGACUGCGUCUUUGACUAGGAUGCUGGCAUAAUGACCUUAAGCC
RNAcentral lists this ribosomal RNA (492 nucleotides) under Yamadazyma scolyti. Its description in RNAcentral is "eukaryotic LSU rRNA". It matches the Rfam family "Eukaryotic large subunit ribosomal RNA", at positions 103 to 646 of the family's 3401-position model. Lineage: Eukaryota; Fungi; Ascomycota; Pichiomycetes; Serinales; Debaryomycetaceae. The record is from RNAcentral.